CCUACGGGUGGCUGCAGUGGGGAAUAUUGCACAAUGGGCGCAAGCCUGAUGCAGCCAUGCCGCGUGUGUGAAGAAGGCCUUCGGGUUGUAAAGCACUUUCAGCGGGGAGGAAGGCGGUGAGGUUAAUAACCUCAUCGAUUGACGUUACCCGCAGAAGAAGAACCGGCUAACUCCGUGCCAGCAGCCGCGGUAAUACGGAGGGUGCAAGCGUUAAUCGGAAUUACUGGGCGUAAAGCGCACGCAGGCGGUCUGUCAAGUCGGAUGUGAAAUCCCCGGGCUCAACCUGGGAACUGCAUUCGAAACUGGCAGGCUAGAGUCUUGUAGAGGGGGGUAGAAUUCCAGGUGUAGCGGUGAAAUGCGUAGAGAUCUGGAGGAAUACCGGUGGCGAAGGCGGCCCCCUGGACAAAGACUGACGCUCAGGUGCGAAAGCGUGGGGAGCAAACAGGAUUAGAUACCCCAGUAGUC
Molecule: ribosomal RNA, 465 nt
Filed under: uncultured Klebsiella sp.
Lineage: Bacteria; Pseudomonadati; Pseudomonadota; Gammaproteobacteria; Enterobacterales; Enterobacteriaceae
Description: bacterial SSU rRNA
Rfam family: Bacterial small subunit ribosomal RNA
Source: RNAcentral